Molecule: non-coding RNA, 46 nt
Organism: Haliaeetus albicilla (white-tailed eagle)
Lineage: Eukaryota; Metazoa; Chordata; Aves; Accipitriformes; Accipitridae
Source: Rfam
AAUGAGGUUUCAUUAGAAACCACCCUCUCAGUCUAAAUAAUUUCUG